Molecule: ribosomal RNA, 605 nt
Filed under: uncultured Bacilli bacterium
Lineage: Bacteria; Bacillati; Bacillota; Bacilli
Description: bacterial SSU rRNA
Rfam family: Bacterial small subunit ribosomal RNA
Source: RNAcentral
GACGAACGCUGGCGGGUGCUAAUACAUGCAAGUCGAGCGAGCGGAACCAACAGAUUUACUUCGGUAAUGACGUUGGGAAAGCGAGCGGCGGAUGGGUGAGUAACACGUGGGGAACCUGCCCCUAAGUCUGGGAUACCAUUUGGAAACAGGUGCUAAUACCGGAUAAUAAAGCAGAUCGCAUGAUCAGCUUUUGAAAGGCGGCGUAAGCUGUCGCUAAGGGAUGGCCCCGCGGUGCAUUAGCUAGUUGGUAAGGUAACGGCUUACCAAGGCGACGAUGCAUAGCCGAGUUGAGAGACUGAUCGGCCACAUUGGGACUGAGACACGGCCCAAACUCCUACGGGAGGCAGCAGUAGGGAAUCUUCCACAAUGGACGCAAGUCUGAUGGAGCAACGCCGCGUGAGUGAAGAAGGUUUUCGGAUCGUAAAGCUCUGUUGUUGGUGAAGAAGGAUAGAGGUAGUAACUGGCCUUUAUUUGACGGUAAUCAACCAGAAAGUCACGGCUAACUACGUGCCAGCAGCCGCGGUAAUACGUAGGUGGCAAGCGUUGUCCGGAUUUAUUGGGCGUAAAGCGAGCGCAGGCGGAAAAAUAAGUCUAAUGUGAAAGCC